This 405-nucleotide ribosomal RNA is filed under the name uncultured bacterium. RNAcentral's name for it is "partial 16S ribosomal RNA". It matches the Rfam family "Bacterial small subunit ribosomal RNA", at positions 28 to 526 of the family's 1533-position model. The record is from RNAcentral.
GAUGAACGCUGGCGGCGUGCCUAAUACAUGCAAGUCGAGCGAAGCGGGGACGGGUGAGUAACACGUGGAUAACCUCCUAUAAGACUGGGAUAACUUCGGAAAACCGGAGCUAACCCGGAUGCUUAUCGAUGGAUCCGGGCUGCAUUAGCUAGUUGGUAAGGUAACGGCUUACCAAGGCAACGAUGCAUAGCCGACCUGAGAGGGUGAUCGGCCACACUGGAACUGAGACCCGGCCCAGACUCCUACGGGAGGCAGCAGUAGGGAAUCUUCCACAAUGGGCGAAAGCCUGACGGAGCAACGCCGCGUGAGUGAUGAAGGCCUUCGGAUCGUAAAAUUCUUUUAUUAGGGAAGCUUUACCUAAUCAGAAAGCCACGGCUAACUACGUGCCAGCAGCCGCGGUAAUUC